ACCAAUUCCGGACACAAUCUCAGCACUGUGGGAGACUGAGGCACCUGCCAAACCUGCACAGAUUCCUACAGCAGCCAGUUCGCUCUGUCUCGAGGCUUCAGAGGAACACGAACUUCUCUGAUGGAAGAGCCUUGUUCUAGAAGGGAGUGAAGCCUAGGUCUUUCCUGAGCACACAGAAGAUCAAGACCACACUCACUGACUUCUCAUAGUCAAGCAAUUUUGGCCAAUUAAAUGUCAGUUGGAAACUCCUGUGUCAGCUUCUCUGUGGCGGUGAGAAGUCCCUGUGUGACAUCCCAACUCUCCCCUCACCUGCGUUGGCAACCAAGAAAGCCUUGUGUUGGAGGUGGGGCCACAAGUUUAAAGCUAAGUUACCACCUCGAGGGCACAUUCCUGGAGAGCUUCCCAGGCCCACAGUGGCACGUGUAUGAGUGACAGAUCCACUUCUUUAUUACCUUUUUGAAGAACAGGAACCUUUGUCUGGAAAUUCCACAAGUAUGCCUUUUGCAAGAUUAAAAGUGCCACAAAGAACAAAAAUGAGCCCAGGACCAGAUGCAUGUUAAAAGCCAUCAGACACGUUAAGUUUCAUCUCCAUUGACCUGCAGAAGGAGUCUCUCACCACAGCCACCACAUCUAUGCAUGUGCUGAGUCACAUGUGAAGCCAGCACAUCUCAGAGUCUCACCGAAAGCUCAUGGUGAGACAAAGAGACUAGAAGGGGUAGAGUCAGCUAACUUCUCUCCUCCCACCACUGAUGAGGUUUUGGUGAAUUCUCUUCCCUUGCUCACUUGCAGAUUCAGCAGAGUUGUCUAUAGUGGCUUAAUUGGAAUUGCUGGACAAGAACAUUGAUUCUGCUUCACUCAGGUAAAGAUGAAAGUAACUGCAACAAUGGAUAUUGCAUUUGAAGGUCAUUGAGUUGUAGUCAGGCAAGGGGAGCAGAUAUUAAAACAUACACGCACAAAAUAAUGGGAUUUUUAUUUAGCAUCUCGCAAGUCUUGAGUAACAUAGUAUUAAUUGACCUUGAGAUUUCAUUCUUUUGUGACUCAUUGCAUUUGCUUUUGUGUUUCAGAUUAAUAUAGAAUAUUUUAAAGAAAGAGUAAUACAGCCAAUUUUAAUCUCUGGGAAGUUUAUGCAAGACAUAAUUUAUUUGUAAACUUUAUAAUAAUAUGUGAAUUAAAGACCCUUGUUAGUUUGGUAUGAAUCUGACAUAAGGGCUAAAAUCACUUUUUCAUUAGCCUUCUCCUGAUCUCAGGUUUACACCUAAGAGAUUCUUCACUCCAAAGUCUUCAUUUCCAAGCACAACCUGCUGGGUGCUGCGCUUUUCUGAGGUCUCCUCCCCAGCUCUGCAUCUAGCAGUGCUCAUGAUGCAAUGAUUUCCUGUCUGACUAUCCCAUUCCUAUCCUUUGCAAAGUUCACAUAGACCCAUUUGAGUACACUUUUAGUAGCAUACCAAGUUUAAGUGCCAAAGUUGUGUUUUAGUUCUUUCAUCCAGAAAGAAAACAUCAGCUGUUUCAAAUUUUAGAGUCCAGCUUGGGCAACAAGAGAAUUGUCAUGUCGUCGAUUGUGUAGUAAGACACAGUGAGUGUCCAGCAAUGUAAAAUCAGUCUAUAAAUGAGAAGAUUAAGACCAAAAGCAUCGGGUUACAAACAUCUCACUAAAGCCCAUUAGCAGGCAGAGAGCUCUCCGCGGAGCUAGAAAAUGAGACUUUUCCCUCCUUUCUGCCCCAUACAUUAGUGCUGAUCUCAGGAGCUCAUUUUUGCACCCUUUGUGGCAGACAACCAUAUAAUCAAAGGGUUCCCAUCACUAAAUCAUUUGAAAAGACAAGUAGAAAUUAGCUUUAGCUAAUUUAACUAGCCUUUGCCCCUCCUCCUGACCCUGAGGGUGAAGCACAUUUUAUCAUUCAUCCUCUGGGGGCUGGCUUAUGCUGGCUCCCUUUCCUUUGGCAGUGAUUUUAAGCAACCAAGUUCUUAUUACAAUUCUCAAAUUUAAAAUUAAGUUCUGAUCACAUCUUCUCAGGGCAUACCUAAGAGGCAGUGUUUAUCCCCAGCCAAAUCAAUUGUUUCCUCAAGUGACUCAUUCCUGAAAAUGUUAUUGUUUCUAAUAACCAGCUCAAAUAUGUAUUUUCAUUAAUCUUUUCUUUUACCUCCAUUUCACACGUGUUGCUGCAUGUCAGGCAGUUUCCACAAGGAUCUGCCAUGACAUCAUUGUGUGAGGUAUGAAAAAAAAAUUUUUUUUUUUCUAAUUUAAGAAUUACUUUUACUCAGAUGGUGGCUGGGCUGGGAAAUGUUCCCCAUUGCCCUGGGAGUUUUAGGCCAAGGCUUGUGUGUGUGUGUGUGUGUGUGUGUGUGUUGGAAGGGUCUCUCAUUGCCUAUUUCUGCUUAUAUAACACACACUGGUUUAGGUAGGUGGAGUCAGAAUGGGAAGAGGAAGUUCCCUAAGUGUUUCUUGCAUGCAAAGGUAAGUGGAGAAUGCCCAUCUGGGCACACAGGGCAAGGAUGCAGUGGAGUGACCUCUCCUUUCCCCUCCAACUCACAUGCUGGAGUUUAAAAACUGUAUCAGGAUGACAGAAACCAAGGGGUAAGACCACGGCUUCCUCUGGGGAUCUUCUAUAAACUGUAAGAACAAACACAGGUAUUUUGUAGUUCUUUAUCACAACGGGUCCUUUGCUGAUGAUUCUAGGUUUUAUGACUGCUGUUUUAUGUCCUACAAAUAGUAACAGGCAUUUCCCUUUGCCCUACACCACAGUAAGCCACUGGCCUAGACAAGAAGCAACUCUGCACUGCUUUUCAAACAUCAUCCUCCCUCUCGACCGCAGGGACUAUUUGGUUUCUAUUCUACUUCUGGCCUUUCAUAUUCCUGAUGGUGCAUUGGAUGAAACCCCGCAGCCAGGCGUGUGAACGUGGUUGAAAAGACCCAUGGAGGACCAGCAACGCUUCCCCACAGCGUGGGAUGGUCCCCUCCUGAGAUGGCCCACUGUCAGCGGGACUGACGCCAAGCACUGCAUCCUGUCUGCUUCUUGAACAGCCCCUUCAUUGUUUGUUCAGCUAUUCUGCUGCAUCUGCAGAUAGCCCUGCCUGAGAAACAGCCUCAAACCAGAAGGAGAGGAUGGCGGCAAGCCUUAGAGAAACAUGGAUGUUAUGUGGACUUCAUUGCCUCAGAGAAAAUUCCUUUUAGGGCUGAAGGCAGAGAAAGUCAGCAUUGAUUUCUGGCCUAAGCUCUUGGGAGUUUAGAGGGUUUGUCAAGGAGCCAAAAGAGGCAAAGGGACUUGAAGAUUUGGACGGCAUGUCUCGGAGAAGUAGCCCCACUCCUAGAGGAGAUGACAUUUGGCUUGGAGGAGAAAGAGAUGACCGUAAAGAAAAUUUGGGAAUGUGUAUUUCAGGGAAAAUGAAAAUGAUCCCAAUAAAGAUCGGAGAUGCAGGAAGGAAGGAAAACAUAGAAAUUGAGCCAGUUGGAGUGUGAGGCUUCAGAAUCGCCUUCCAACUCUCUGUGCACUGCACCAGCUGCUUCCCAUAGACUCCUGGUAAAAUAUAGAGCGGAAGGAAGAAGAGCCACUACCCAUAACAUCAGUGGCUGCUAACUAAGGAGUGUUUUGACAUGCUGGUACAGCCUAUCCUCAGCUUUCCAGAAGGUGGAAUCUUGUGAUAGUGGAAAGAAGUAGAAGAGAUGAAGUACCUAUGACUCCAGGAUUUGCCAGUGAAAGAAGUCAACAAUAUUUUAACUUUGAUCUUAACCAAAAGGCCAAGAAGUGAUGCUAAUAUUUUCAUAUACUACGACAGUUGCAGACACACGUCUAUCAUAGCUGGGUAGUAAUCCAGGCAACUCUGCCACAAGUCAUGGGCUCAGCCACCAGUCCACGAAGUCUCCAGUCACACAUAUUGCUUCGGACUAUUCUCUAUCCCCAGUUGUCAAUUAACUAAAAUAUUAAAUGAGGAUGCCAUGGAGUCCCCCAACUGAUUUCAUAAAUUUGGUGUCACAUUGUAAAUCAAGCAGCUGCAGAGUGGCUGGGACAUCUGUUUGGUUCUGUUAUUCUCUUUACUCCAAAAGGAAACUAACUCCAAAAGAAGAAAACCUGAUGUCUGAGCUGAAUCCUAAUCAUGAAGAUGUUUUUCCACCAUUCCUGUCUGUGUUUUUCUACCAUUCCUGUCUGUGUUUUUCUACCAAAGUGUGCUCUUGAAGUUCUGCAUUUCCCAGGGUGUGGUGAAAGAAGAGAAAAAAAUGUCCAAGAUGACUUCAACGUUCUGACCUUGAGUGGCUUGAGUGAAUGGAGUUACAACUGUGCAGAAAGAUUCAGUAGAGAGUUUUGGAUUUAUGCACCAGUAAGGGGAAAACUGAACAGCUGCAGAGAGCUGUAACUUUUAUAGGAGAUUAAUCUAUAAGAGAAGACAGCAAACUACAGCCUGUGUGUCAAAUCCUACUUGCCACGUCCACUGAAAGCUAACUACACUGGAACACUCUCAUUUCUGCAAAGAAAAAUAUCAUAUCCCAGGAUGAAAAGGAGGAGGAAGAGGAAAGGCUAACUUAACAAGAAGCUCUUUGACAUUCUUGAAUUAGACACCCAACGUAGUCCACGCAGUACGGAGGAUGACUUCAGAAGUGCAAUUCUGAUAUGGACUUUGUCUCCCUAAGGCUUUCAGUUCCUCAUAUUUAGGAUAAAACAGAAGUUUAUGUAAAGCCAAGGGAGAGGGUCACCGGGAGAGGGAAGGAGGAACAGCAGAAGGAGAGGUCCACACAUGAAAAUACUUGGAAGCGCCCCAGGGCCUAUCAGAUGCAGGUCUUGGCGGAAAUUACCAAACAUACUUUAGACAGGCUGCUGUGUUGCUGAGUGUGGACUGGCCUCAGGGCCUGCUGAUCAAAGCAAAAGGAAGCAGUGAAAAAAACAUCACCAUGUCUUCUUAGAGUCUAAUCUGGGGGCAAGAGGCCAGCAUGCACAGUUGGUGCUGAUUUUCUUGGGCGGAUAGAGGAAAGGUGUAGGCGUGGCCAACAUUUGAGCAGCAUGUGGUUCCUCUCACACGCCAUGCUGUUUCCGGCCUCCUUGCAUUUUACUCAUGCCAUCCUCCUGGUCACUUCUUUGAGAUAUUAAGUGCAUUCUUUAGGACUCAGACUCAGCUCAAGGGUCAGUGCAUCCAUGAAGCCUUACCUGGAUCCCAGAGGGAGCUCUGUGCUCCUCCUUUGUCUCCUAUAGGACCCAGUACAUGCGUCCAGUAUUAUCCAUACACACUGAAAUGAUCUAGCAUGUGUCUUCCCAUAGGAUUUCAAAUUCUUAGAAUAUAGGAGUGAUGCCUUCUUCCUACUUAUAUUUCCAGUGUUAACAGUGCCUGUCAAUUGACUUGAAGAUAACUAAAAGUCUGGUUGUUAAGGGCUGCUUCCCACCUCCAAAUACUUCCCUGGAAGUCAUUGUAUGGGCACUGACAUUGGUAGGUCUCCACUGGCUUGUAGAUGCUUCUGAUUAUAAGGUAGUCUCAGAUGCCUUCAGAAAGUUCUAAGACUGUAUAAAACAUUUCCUUCACAACCAAUAACUGUGUAUUAUUGUUCGUGUAAUUCCAGAAGUUAUCCUUUUGAUAGAGAGCAAUUACUUUAUUGAUUGAGAGUUAGCUAAUUAUGUAAUAAAGGUAAAGAUUUGCAUAGAGAA
This 5624-nucleotide long non-coding RNA is filed under the name Homo sapiens (human). Its description in RNAcentral is "HSALNT0353190". Lineage: Eukaryota; Metazoa; Chordata; Mammalia; Primates; Hominidae. The record is from RNAcentral.